This 677-nucleotide ribosomal RNA is filed under the name uncultured eukaryote. RNAcentral describes it as "SSU rRNA". It matches the Rfam family "Eukaryotic small subunit ribosomal RNA", at positions 46 to 739 of the family's 1831-position model. The record is from RNAcentral.
AAGCCAUGCAUGUCUCAGUAUGAGUGCUUCUACGGCGAAACUGCGAAUGGGUUACGGUUUAUUUGAUGACUUGUGACACGGAUAACUGGGGAAAUUCUUCAGCCAAUACGUGCUUCUAAGCCGGCUUUGUGGAAGGUGAGUAUUUGCUCGAUUCUGAACCAACCCAGAUCUUCUGGGCUUUAAGUUGAGCGGAGAGUAAAUCUGUCCAAUCGCAUUGCACCGCGAUGCGAUGCAUCAUUCAAGUUUCUGACCUAUCAGCUUCCGAUUAUAGGGUAUUGGCUUACCAUGGCGAUGACGGGUAACAGCGAAUUUGGGUUCAGUUCUGGAGAGGGAGCCUGAGAAACGGCUACCACAUCUAAGGAAGGCAGCAGGCGCGUAACUUACCCAAUUCUGACACGGAGAGGUAGUGACAAGAAAUAACGAUACAGGGCAUUCAUGUCUUGUACUUGGGCUGAGUAGAAUGUAAACGACUCUAUGAGUAUCAAUUGGAGGGCAAGUCUGGUGCCAGCAGCCGCGGUAACUCCAGCUCCAAUAGCGUAUAUUGAAGUUGUUGCGGUUAAAAAGCUCGUCGUUGGAUUUCUGUUGAGGUCGAACAGUGCCGCCCUAUGGGUGCGCAACUGGCUCGGCUUCGGCAUCUUCUUGGAGAGCGUACCUGCACUUAACUGUGUGGAUCGUAC